Molecule: ribosomal RNA, 257 nt
Filed under: uncultured prokaryote
Description: partial 16S ribosomal RNA
Rfam family: Bacterial small subunit ribosomal RNA
Source: RNAcentral
UACGGAGGAUCCGAGCGUUAUCCGGAUUUAUUGGGUUUAAAGGGUGCGCAGGUUGUUUGAUAAGUCAGUGGUGAAAGUCUGUCGCUUAACGGUAGGAUUGCCAUUGAUACUGUUAGACUUGAAUAUGGAUGAGGUAGGCGGAAUGUGUAGUGUAGCGGUGAAAUGCAUAGAUAUUACACAGAACACCGAUUGCGAAGGCAGCUAACUGGGUCUUGAUUGACGCUGAGGCACGAAAGCGUGGGGAGCGAACAGGAUUA